Molecule: ribosomal RNA, 468 nt
Filed under: uncultured bacterium
Lineage: Bacteria
Description: partial 16S ribosomal RNA
Rfam family: Bacterial small subunit ribosomal RNA
Source: RNAcentral
GACGAACGCUGGCGGCGUGCUUAACACAUGCAAGUCGAACGGAAAGGCCCUGCUUUUGUGGGGUGCUCGAGUGGCGAACGGGUGAGUAACACGUGAGUAACCUGCCCUUGACUUUGGGAUAACUUCAGGAAACUGGGGCUAAUACCGGAUAGGAGCUCCUGCUGCAUGGUGGGGGUUGGAAAGUUUCGGCGGUUGGGGAUGGACUCGCGGCUUAUCAGCUUGUUGGUGGGGUAGUGGCUUACCAAGGCUUUGACGGGUAGCCGGCCUGAGAGGGUGACCGGCCACAUUGGGACUGAGAGACGGCCCAGACGCCUACGGGAGGCAGCAGUGGGGAAUAUUGCACAAUGGGCGGAAGCCUGAUGCAGCAACGCCGCGUGCGGGAUGACGGCCUUCGGGUUGUAAACCGCUUUCGCCUGUGACGAAGCGUGAGUGACGGUAAUGGGUAAAGAAGCACCGGCUAACUACGUG